RNAcentral lists this ribosomal RNA (464 nucleotides) under uncultured bacterium. Its description in RNAcentral is "partial 16S ribosomal RNA". It matches the Rfam family "Bacterial small subunit ribosomal RNA", at positions 339 to 795 of the family's 1533-position model. The record is from RNAcentral.
CUACGGGUUGCAGCAGUGGGGAAUUUUGGACAAUGGGCGCAAGCCUGAUCCAGCCAUGCCGCGUGCAGGAUGAAGGCCUUCGGGUUGUAAACUGCUUUUGUACGGAACGAAACGGCUCUUUCUAAUAAAGGGGGCUAAUGACGGUACCGUAAGAAUAAGCACCGGCUAACUACGUGCCAGCAGCCGCGGUAAUACGUAGGGUGCAAGCGUUAAUCGGAAUUACUGGGCGUAAAGCGUGCGCAGGCGGUGAUGUAAGACAGAUGUGAAAUCCCCGGGCUCAACCUGGGAACUGCAUUUGUGACUGCAUCGCUGGAGUGCGGCAGAGGGGGAUGGAAUUCCGCGUGUAGCAGUGAAAUGCGUAGAUAUGCGGAGGAACACCGAUGGCGAAGGCAAUCCCCUGGGCCUGCACUGACGCUCAUGCACGAAAGCGUGGGGAGCAAACAGGAUUAGAUACCCGUGUAGUC